UACGGGGGGAGCAAGCGUUGUUCGGAAUUACUGGGCGUAAAGGGCUCGUAGGUGGCCAACUAAGUCAUACGUGAAAUCCCUCGGCUUAACCGGGGAACUGCGUCUGAUACUGGAUGGCUUGAGUUUGGGAGAGGGAUGCGGAAUUCCAGGUGUAGCGGUGAAAUGCGUAGAUAUCUGGAGGAACACCGGUGGCGAAGGCGACAUCCUGGACCAACACUGACGCUGAGGAGCGAAAGCCAGGGGAGCAAACGGG
RNAcentral lists this ribosomal RNA (253 nucleotides) under uncultured bacterium. RNAcentral describes it as "partial 16S ribosomal RNA". It matches the Rfam family "Bacterial small subunit ribosomal RNA", at positions 524 to 776 of the family's 1533-position model. The record is from RNAcentral.